This is a regulatory RNA element of 112 nucleotides. It matches the Rfam family "SAM riboswitch aptamer (S box leader)". From Rfam's summary of the family: The SAM riboswitch is found upstream of a number of genes which code for proteins involved in methionine or cysteine biosynthesis in Gram-positive bacteria. The record is from Rfam.
CUCUUAUCCAGAGCGGCGGAGGGACUAGGCCCGAUGAAGCCCGGCAACCUUCAAGGUAUUCCUUGAAAAGGUGCUAAUUCCUGCAGGUUAUUUUGAACCUGACAGAUAAGAG